AUUUGACGUCUAAAUUAUUAUUAGCUAUCAGCUUUAUUAAUCAAUUAAAUCCGACUUGUCUAUAAUCAAAAUCUUACAAUCAAGUAACAAGUAAAGAAAUAUAUAUAUAUAUAUAUGAAAACAGUUCUUCACUUUAGUUAUCAACUCAGAAUGUGUCUGCAUGUAAGUUACAUGUAAAGACUACACUUAUCAAAUAAUCUCGAAGCGUCUUUUCGUGUUGAGUCAAACUAAGCCACAGAUUCCACUCUUUGUAGUGGUUCCUUUCUGUUAAUUUAUUUAAAAGUAAUUAUGAAAUAGUCUUGAAGCGUCUUCUCGUGUUGAGUCAAACUUAGUUACAGAUGUUCUAAUAAAGGUGAAUUGUUGUUUGAUGUUUCAAACAAAAAUUGCACCUUCAUUAGAACCUUGUAAAAAAUUUUUCUCUUAAAUCAGUUUCAUCUAUUCUUGGAAAACUACUUGCAAAACGUUAAAGGAAGGAUUUUUUUAAUCUUAACAUUUGAUGUCUAUGUUAUUAUUAGCUAUCAGCUUUAUUAUAUCAAUUAAAUCCGACUUGGUGAAAUUGUUUAUAAUCAAAUUCUUAUAAUCAAGUAACAUAUAAAUAGCACUGCUCCUCAUAUUAGUAUCACAUUUAAAAAGAAAUAUUUAUAUGAAAACAGUUCUUCACUUUAGUUAUUAACUCAGAAUGUGCCUGCAUGUAAGUUACACUUAUGUUACUUAUUUAUUUGACCUCUCUAAAGAAAAGUUACUUCAUUUAAAUUAUAUGUUAAACAUAUUUUGGCUUUCAUUAAAUACUUUGAUGUGUAAAAGUACCAUAACAGGUCUGGGUUCAUUAGUUAUUUGAAUUUUUAAAAAUAAAAAAAUGAUAUGUUAAGAAACAAAGCCUAAUAAAAUUAAUUGAUUUUCCAUAUAGUUAAACUAUGACCUUACUUUUUCAUAUUACUAUCUUAGCAUCACUUUUUAUUAUUUAAUUGUUGUUUUAAUAUAAUGUUAGAUUUUAUCAAUUGCAGCUUUUAUUAUAUGCUUAAAAAACGUAAGUAAUAUGCUUUAAAAUCAAUUUAUCAGUAUCUUUAAAUUAAUGUGAUUACUUUUUUUUUUGUUGUUGCUACAAAUGUAUUUAAAUAUGGAUGUCAGCCGUGAUCACUGAUAUUUCAAAACAUGGGCAAUGAUCUCUUCUUUUCCCUUUUUUUUUGAAUUAAAAUAGUUUGUCUAAAUGAUGCCAGCAUAUUUUCACCUAACAUAGCUGGGAGGAAUCAUCAUUUUACUGUGGGAAUUGCAAACUGCGAGAAGAAAAGAAAAAAGUGCGAGGACUACCAUUUGGCGUUCUAAAAGUAAAUUAAUGAAAACUAGCUUGAAUCCAAAACCUAAUGAAUUCAAAAAAUAAAAUGACUUAAUAGUAAAAUUAGUUUUAAUAAUUGUGAUCUUAGAAUGCAACCUUUGUAUAUUUGAAGGAAAAGCGAAGCAAUCGGGCAAUUGUUUCAGUUAUGUG
Long non-coding RNA from Hydra vulgaris (swiftwater hydra), 1483 nucleotides. RefSeq lists it as uncharacterized. NCBI's taxonomy places the organism in Eukaryota, Metazoa, Cnidaria, Hydrozoa, Anthoathecata, Hydridae. The record is from RefSeq and is a predicted model, not a curated record.